GAAAGUUGCAGCAAGCGUGUUUCCCACGGUCAGUAAUCUUGAUGCAAGAGUGUCACACAGGACGGUCCAUUCCUCCUUCUGUGCAAACGUGCACAGAAGAGCAAGUGUUUCUUUCCAAGAGCUCAGAGGCCUGGAACUAACAAGGGUCACUAAAUCUUUACUCACAAGUGCAGAAACAACCUUCAGAUAUGGUGAGAGACUGCU
Molecule: unclassified non-coding RNA, 204 nt
Filed under: Hevea brasiliensis (rubber tree)
Lineage: Eukaryota; Viridiplantae; Streptophyta; Magnoliopsida; Malpighiales; Euphorbiaceae
Source: RNAcentral